GAUGAAGAACGCAGCGAAAUGCGAUAAGUAAUGUGAAUUGCAGAAUUCAGUGAAUCAUCGAAUCUUUGAACGCACCUUGCACUCCUUGGUAUUCCGAGGAGUAUGCCUGUUUGAGUGUCAUGAAAUUAUCAACUUCAUAGUUUUAUUACUUUGAAGCUUGGAUUUGGAAGCUUGCUGGCUCUCUGGGUCGGCUCCUCUUAAAUGUAUUAGCUGCUUGUCGGCAGGUUGGCUCAGAGUGUGAUAAGUAUCUACACUUGGUGGCUGCUUGCUUGGAUGUGGCUUCUAAUCGUCUUCGGACAACUCUUUAAGAUCUGACCUCAAAUCAGGUAGGACUACCCGCUGAACUUAAGCAUAUCAAUAAGCGGAGGA
Molecule: unclassified non-coding RNA, 369 nt
Filed under: soil metagenome
Description: partial contains 5.8S ribosomal RNA, internal transcribed spacer 2, and large subunit ribosomal RNA
Rfam family: 5.8S ribosomal RNA (bases 1-120)
Source: RNAcentral